RNAcentral lists this small nucleolar RNA (136 nucleotides) under Oryzias javanicus (javanese ricefish). RNAcentral's name for it is "Small nucleolar RNA SNORA5 (ENSOJAG00000010198.1)". It matches the Rfam family "Small nucleolar RNA SNORA5". From Rfam's summary of the family: ACA5 is a member of the H/ACA class of snoRNA that guide the sites of modification of uridines to pseudouridines. The record is from Rfam by way of RNAcentral. Lineage: Eukaryota; Metazoa; Chordata; Actinopteri; Beloniformes; Adrianichthyidae.
AGCAGCCUCGUCAAAUUCAGUGCAUCCUUUCGUGUGGGUGUCACUGGCCCAAAGGGCUGCCACAGCCACCGUGUAGCUCAUGGGCCCCAGCGAGCGGUUCUGUGCCCUCUGGGGAUAAAUUGUGCUACAUACAAAC